AGCAGCCGCGGUAAUUCCAGCUCCAAUAGCGUAUAUUAAAGUUGUUGCAGUUAAAAAGCUCGUAGUUGAAUUUCGAGAUCGGCUUACUGGUCGUGCUUUUGUACGUACUGGUAAAUCGGUUUCUCCUUUCUGACGAACUUUAAUGCCAUUAAUUUGGUGUUUUAGGGAAUCAGGACUGUUACUUUGAAAAAAUUAGAGUGUUUAAAGCAGGCUCACGCUUGAAUACAUUAGCAUGGAAUAACGGAAUAGGACGUUUGAUUUUAUUUUGUUGGUUUCUAGGAUCGACGUAAUGAUUAAUAGGGAUAGUUGGGGGCAUUAGUAUUCAAUUGUCAGAGGUGAAAUUCUUGGAUUUAUUGAAGACUAACUACUGCGAAAGCAUUUGCCAAGGAUGUUUUCAUUAAUCAAGAACGAAAGUUAGGGGAUCGAAGACGAUCAGAUACCGUCGUAGUCUUAACCAUAAACUAUGCCGACUAGGGAUCGGAUGAUGUUAAUUUUUUAAUGACUCAUUCGGCGCCUUACG
RNAcentral lists this ribosomal RNA (520 nucleotides) under uncultured Glomus. RNAcentral's name for it is "SSU rRNA". It matches the Rfam family "Eukaryotic small subunit ribosomal RNA", at positions 569 to 1092 of the family's 1831-position model. Lineage: Eukaryota; Fungi; Glomeromycota; Glomeromycetes; Glomerales; Glomeraceae. The record is from RNAcentral.